Molecule: ribosomal RNA, 301 nt
Filed under: uncultured bacterium
Lineage: Bacteria
Description: partial 16S ribosomal RNA
Rfam family: Bacterial small subunit ribosomal RNA
Source: RNAcentral
CAGCCGCCGCGGGAAUACGAAGGGUGCAAGCGUUAAUCGGAAUUACUAGGCGUAAAGCGUGCGUAGGCGGUUUGUUAAGUCUGCUGUGAAAUCCCCGGGCUCAACCUGGGAAUGGCAGUGGAUACUGGCAAGCUAGAGUGUGUCAGAGGAUGGUGGAAUUCCCGGUGUAGCGGUGAAAUGCGUAGAGAUCGGGAGGAACAUCAGUGGCGAAGGCGGCCAUCUGGGACAACACUGACGCUGAGGCACGAAAGCGUGGGGAGCAAACAGGAUUAGAUACCCCUGUAGUCCCUGUCUCUUAUAA